Long non-coding RNA from Homo sapiens (human), 4686 nucleotides. Ensembl annotates it as palmitic acid regulated anti-inflammatory lncRNA. Its record names the gene PARAIL. NCBI's taxonomy places the organism in Eukaryota, Metazoa, Chordata, Mammalia, Primates, Hominidae. The record is from Ensembl.
GUGCUGCUGGAUUUGGUUUGCCAGUAUUUUAUUGAGGAUUUUUGCAACAAUGUUCAUCAAGGAUAUUGGUCUAAAAUUCUCUUUUUUGGCUGUGUCUCUGCCUGGCUUUGGUAUCAGGAUGAUGCUGGCCUCAUAAAAUGAGUUAGGGAGGAUUCUCUCUUUUUCUAUUGAUUGGAAUAGUUUCAGAAGGAAUGGUACCAAUUCCUCCUUAUACCUCUGGUAGAAUUCGGCUGUGAAUCCAUCUGGUCCUGGACUCUUUUUGGUUGGUAAGCUAUUGAUUAUUGCCACAAUUUCAGAUCCUGUUAUUGGUCUAUUCAGAGAUUCAACUUCUUCCUGGUUUAGUCUUGGGAGGGUGUAUGUGUCGAGGAAUUUGUCCAUUUCUUCUAGAUUUUCUAGUUUAUUUGCGUAGAGGUGUUUGUAGUAUUCUCUGAUGGUAGUUUGUAUUUCUGUGGGAUCGGUGGUGAUAUCCCCUUUAUCAUUUUUCAUUGUGUCUAUUUGAUUCUUCUCUCUUUUCUUCUUUAUUAGUCUUGCUAGCGGUCUAUCAAUUUUGUUGAUCCUUUCAAAAAACCAGCUCCUGGAUUCAUUAAUUUUUUGAAGGGUUUCUUGUGUCUGUAUUUCCUUCAGUUCUGCUCUGAUUUUAGUUAUUUCUUGCCUUCUGCUAGCUUUUGAAUGUGUUUGCUCUUGCUUUUCUAGUUCUUUUAAUUGUGAUGUUAGGGUGUCAAUUUUGGAUCUUUCCUGCUUUCUCUUGUGGGCAUUUAGUGCUAUAAAUUUCCCUCUACACACUGCUUUGAAUGAGUCCCAGAGAUUCUGGUAUGUUGUAUCUUUGUUCUCGUUGGUUUCAAAGAACAUCUUUAUUUCUGCCUUCAUUUCGUUAUGUACCCAGUAGUCAUUCAGGAGCAGGUUGUUCCGUUUCCAUGUAGUUGAGUGGCUUUGAGUGAGUUUCUUAAUCCUGAGUUCUAGUUUGAUUGCACUGUGGUCUGAGAGAUAGUUUGUUAUAAUUUCUGUUCCUUUACAUUUGCUGAGGAGAGCUUUACUUCCAAGUAUGUGGUCAAUUUUGGAAUAGGUGUGGUGCGGUGCUGAAAAAAAUGUAUAUUCUGUUGAUUUGGGGUGGAGAGUUCUGUAGGUGUCUAUUAGAUCCACUUGAUGCAGAGCUCAGUUCAAUUCCUGGGUAUCCAUGUUAACUUUGUGUCUCAUUGAUCUGUCUAAUGUUGACAGUGGGGUGUUAAAGUCUCCCAUUAUUAUUGUGUGGGAGUCUAAGUCUCUUUGUAGGUCACUCAGGACUUGCUUUAUGAAACUGGGUCCUCCUGUAUUGGGUGCAUAUAUAUUUAGGAUAGUUAGCUCUUCUUGUUGAAUUGAAUAAAUACUUAAACGUUAGACCUAAAACCAUAAAAACUCUAGAGGAAAACCUAGGCAUUACCAUUCAGGACAUAGGCAUGGGCAAGGACUUCAUGUCUAAAACACCAAAAGCAAUGGCAACAAAAGACAAAAUUGACAAAUGGGAUCUAAUUAAACUAAAGAGCUUCUGCACAGCAAAAGAAACUACCAUCAGAGUGAACAGGCAACCUACAAAAUGGGAGAAAAUUUCGCAACGUACUCAUCUGACAAAGGACUAAUAUCCAGAAUCUACAAUGAACUCAAACAAAUUUACAAGAAAAAAACAAACAACCCCAUCAAAAAGUGGGCAUAGGACAUGAACAGACACUUCUCAAAAGAAGACAUUUAUGCAGCCAAAAAGCACAUGAAAAAAUGCCCACCAUCAUUGGCCAUCUGAAAAAUGCAAAUCAAAACCACAAUGAGAUACCAUCUCACACCAGUUAGAAUGGCAAUCAUUCAAAUGUCAGGAAACAACAGGUGCUGGAGAGGAUGUGGAGAAAUAGGAACACUUUUACACUGUUGGUGGGACUGUAAACUAUUUCAACCCUUGUGGAAGUCAGUAUGGCGAUUCUUCAGGGAUCUAGAACUGGAAAUACCAUUUGACCCAUCCAUCCCAUUACUGGGUAUAUACCCAAAGGACUAUAAAUCAUGCUGCUAUAAAGACACAUGCCAUGUAUGUUUAUUGCGGCACUAUUCACAAUAGCAAAGACUUGGAACCAACCCAAAUGUCCAACAAUGAUAGACUGGAUUAAGAAAAUGUGGCACAUAUACACCCUGGAAUACUAUGCAGCCAUAAAAAUGAUGAAUUCAUGUCCUUUGUAGGGACAUGGAUGAAAUUGGAAAUCAUUAUUCUUAGUAAACUAUCGCAAGAACACAAAACCAAACACCGUAUAUGCUGCCUCAUAGGUGGGAAUUGAACGAUGAGAUCACAUGGACACAGGAAGGGGAACAUCACACUCUGGGGACUGUUGUGAGGUGGGCGGAGAGGGGAGGGAUAGCAUUAGGAGAUAUACCUAAUGCUAAAUGACGAGUUAAUGGGUGCAGCACAGUAGCAUGGCACAUGUAUACAUACGUAACUAACCUGCACAUUGUGCACAUGUACCCUAAAACUUAAAGUAUAAUAAUAAAAAAAAAGAAUGUUAUGAUAGCCUUAAUUUGACUUCAUGGGUGCUGUGUUACCUAUUGGUCACAGUUUGUCAUUUACUAAGUAAAAAGAGAGAGAUUCCGAUAAUGGAAAGAGUAGAAGACUGAGUUUAAGUUUUCAGCACUACUGUUCACUAAUUGUGUGAAUUUGUUGUUCCUUCUCCCCAUAAUCUCAUUACCCCAGAUCUUGACAUCUAUGGUUCUUCAUUGUUCAGGACACAGCUGAAGUAUUACCUUUCCCAAGAGAUCUUACAUGACAAUAACCACCCCUGUCCUAUGUUUUGGUAUCAAGAUGAAGCUGACCUCAUAGAAUGAGUUGAAGAGUAGUCCCUCCUCCUCACUUUCUUGGAACAGUUUCUGUAGGAAUGGAACCAGCUCUUCUUUGUACAUCUGGUAGAAUUUGGCUGUGACUCCAUCAGGUCCUGGGCUUUUUUUUUGGUUGGUAGGCUAUUUAUUACUGAUUCAAUUUUGGAGCCCAUCAUUGGUCUGUUAAGGGAAUCAAUUUCUUCCUGGCUCAGUCUUGGGAGGGUGUGUGUGUCCAGGAAUUUAUCAGUCUCUUCUAGAUUUUCUAGUUUGUGUGCAUAGAGGUGUUUUUAGUAGUUUCUGAUGGUUGUCUUUAUAUCUGUUGGGUCAGUGGUACCAUUCCUUUCAUCAUUUUUAAUUGUGUUUAUUUGGAUCUUCUCUUUUGUCUUAUUAGCCUAGCUAGUGGCAUAUCUAUUUUAUUAAUUUUUUCAAAAAACCAAUUCCUGGAUUUGUUGAGAUCUCUACAAUAAGCAUUACAAAACACUGCUGAAAGAAAUCAGAGAAGACACAAACAAAUGAAAAAAACAUCUCUUGCUCAUGGAUAGGAAGAAACAAUAUUAUUAAAAUGGCUAUACUGCCCAAAGUAAUUUACAGAUUCAUUGUUAUUCCUAUCAAACUGCCAACAAUAUUCUUCAAAGAACUAGAAAAAACUAUUUUAAAAUUCAUAUGGAUCUAAAAAAGAGCCUUAAUAGCCAAGGCAAUCCUAAACAAAAAGAAAAAGCUGGAGGCAUCACACUACUUGACUUUAUGCUGCAAGGCUACAGUAGCAAAAACACCAUGUUUCUGGUACAAAAACAGGUGCAUAGACCAAUGGAACGGAAUAAAGAGCCCUGAAAUAAUGCCGCACAUCUCCAACUAUCUAGUCUUUGACAAAGCUGACAAAAACAAGCAAUGGGGGAAAUGACUCUUUAUUCAAUAAAUAGUGCUGGGAUAACUGGCUAGUCAUAUGCAGAAGAUUGAAGUUGGACACUUUCCUUACACCAUACACAAAAAUCAACUCAAGACAGAUUAAAGACUUAAAUAUAAAUCCGAAAACUAUAAAAACCUUGCAAAACAACCUAGUCAAUACCAUCCUGGAUGUAGGAAUGGGCAAAUAUUUCAUGACAAAGACACCAAAAGCAAUCGCAACGAAAGCAAAAAUUGACAAGUGGAAUCUAAUUAAACUUAAGAACUGCACAGCAAAAGACACUAUCAACAGAGUAAAUAGACAACAUACAGAAUGGGAGAAAGUAUUCGCAAACUAUGCAUCUGACAGACAAAGGUCUAAUAUCUAGCAUCUAUAAGGAUCUUAAGCAAAUUUACAAGAGAAAAGCAAACAACCCUAUUAAGAAGUGGGCAAAGGACAUGAACAGACACUUCUCAAAACAAGACAUAUAUGUGGUCAACAAGCAUUUGAAAAAGAGCUCAAUAUCACUCAUCAUAAGAGAAAUGCAAAUCAAAACCACAAUGAGAUACCAUCUCAUACCAGUCUGAAUGGCCAUUAUUAAAAAGUCAAAAAACAACAGAUGCUGGUGAGGUUGUGGAGAAAAGGGAACACUUAUACACUGUUAGUAGGAGUAGACAUUUGUCCAACUAUUGUGAAAAGCAGUAUGGUGAUUCCUCAAAGAGCUAAAAGCAGAACUACCAGUUGACUCAACAAUUCUAUUACUGGAUAUAUACCCAGAGGAAUAUAAAUUGACCUUACGGUGUUUCUACCAUAAAGACACAUGCAUGUGAAUGUUCAUUGCAACACUAUUCACAAUUGCAAAGACAUGGAAUUAACCUAAAUGCCUAUCAAUGACAGAUUGGAUAAAGAAAAUGUGGCACUUAUACACCAUGAAAUACUAUGCAGCCAUAAAAAAGAACAAGAUGUCUGUGGACGGAACA